RNAcentral lists this long non-coding RNA (723 nucleotides) under Mus musculus (house mouse). RNAcentral describes it as "cDNA sequence BC023486". Lineage: Eukaryota; Metazoa; Chordata; Mammalia; Rodentia; Muridae. The record is from RNAcentral.
GGUCAAACAUUAUUCUUGAUGUCUCUGCAAGACUGUUUUGGGGGUGAAAUUAACAGGCAAGUUGGUGAGCUUUGGUGAAGCAAACAACCUUACAUGAUGUGAGUGGUCCUUGUGCCCAGUUGAAGCCGUGAGUAAAACAAAGUCUGACAUAGCCUUGAGCAAGAAAGAACUCUACCUCCAGACAACUUCGGGGGCAGAUGCACUGUGCACUGGAGAGGCAGAGCAUCCUGCCUUCCACAGCCGUGCACACCAGUCCCUGUGCACAAGUGGCCACCCACCCAGCGAAUCGACGUGGUGUGCUUAUCAAAAUCUGUGUGUCUGUGGGCCAGAGCCAAAUCCAGCAGAGCCCCAUCCUGAAUGCCCAGCGGUGCCCACAGCCAGGAGGAGCAUUCGAUGUGUGAUGACUCAUCUCGUGCAUCAGACGCUCUCUAAAGUUCCCACAGAUUAUACCAUGGCUUAGUGAGUGCGAUUCUAAGACAGUUCCAAAAGACUUUUCAAUCCGUGGGAGUUUCAAAGUGGAUUCUCAGACAAACAUGGGGAGGACUGAGGCAGGCUUGGACACGCACAGAAUCAGACAACGAUGGUCCGGAGUUCAAAUCCCUGCAACCACAUGGUGGCUCACAACCAACUGUAAUGAGAUCUGGCGCCCUCUUCUGGAGUGUCUGAAGACAGAUACAGUGUACUUACAUAUAGUAAAUAAAUAAAUCUUAAAAAAAAAAAAAA